AAGCCUAAAAAAUAAAUUAGGUCAUAUUUGUUUCUUCUAAGAAGCAACAACCACAUCUCUUACUUUCCUUUCCAUUUUUUGAUCGAUUUUGUACCUCCCCUCACCAUCACAUGAUUUUGUUUAACCAUUUUCAUUAAAGUUUCAGGAGCUACUUGAAGCUAUUUUGUUCACUUCCUCGAGUCAAAAAUUUUCACAAAGAUCCGUUGGAAGACAAGAGAGGGUCACGGGUUCCUUACCCCUUUUCUUUGUUCAUCCAUCCAUGCCAGUCCCUUUUUCUGCUAUCUUGCAUCACAAUUUUGACCUCUCACAACGAUUAUUUCUCAAAAUUUGAAGUUUGCAAAAUCCCGCCCAAACAUGAACCCUAGAUCAACAUCUCCUAUAAAUACUCACAUCCGGGUGGGUUUAGACAGGUUGGAGCCGCCGCUCGAACACUACUGUAAACACCACUAUUUUUCUUACUCUUAUCACUCUUCUCGUCUCUUAGAAACUCUCAGAAAGAACUUUCAAACUUUAUUUACUAUCUCAGUGUACUUUAGCCGCAAUAGAGGUGCUCGAACCCAUUCAACUCGAGGUUCGGAUCUGUUCAUAAUGAGAGAGUAGAUUCGAGGUCGAAGCUCUGGUUCGCUGCACUACAAGAGGUAAUAUUUGACCCCGUUCUGUUUCUUUUCUCUUUUUGUUAAAAAAUGUUGUAUUUAAGAAUCAUGUUUUUGACUUUAAUUAUCUUAAAAAUGCAUUCCUGAAAUUCUAGAUAAAGAUGUGUUUAGAAAUCAUGCUCUUAGGAAUUUAUAUUUUGAUCCUAUGGUGUUUGACUCGUGUCCAUAUUAUUUGUUCUAUAGAGUACAUUUGCUGACUUUAGAAACUGAUUUGGAGUCUAUUUUGUGCUUGGAAUGCAGAAAUGUGUGUGUCAUUUUCUCCAAUACUCUGGUAUAUUUUAUUUUUCUUUUGUUGUUAAUAAGACAACUUGGAAUAAGUUGCGACUCUUUUUCUAUUCUAUCCUGCUACAAGCAUAAGUGAACUUUAUGUUAGAAUUCAUAGAUGACAUGUUAUACACCAUGACUUUACAUCGGCUUAUUGGUUUUAAAAUGUUUUGUUUGAAACCAACUUUAACUAACUGAAAUACAUGUUGUCUUAUGAAUAUUAUGUCUUCAUAUUCUUCUUUGAUAUUUGGUUUAAGUGUUGGUAUCUUUGAUCAAUGUGUAAAAAUGACUUUAAAUUGAUGUGGAAUAUAUCCUUCUCCGCUUAUUGAAUUAGCUUAAAUCACUUUAUUGUACAGGAUCUGAGGCAGGUACAUCUGGCUAUCAGUCUGGUGCACGCCCCUGAUUCAUAAACCGAGACUUCCACGGUGAGCUGCUUCCUUCCUAUGCCGUUUAGCAGCUGGAUGGAGUCUUUUCUUACUUUUGCUGUCUUUUCUAUCUCAGACAGUAUGAUAGAGAUAUUCUUUUGUAUAUUCUACUAGAUGUCUAUUACUUGUGACACCAGGUCUUGGCACACACUCGAGUAGAAACUUAUUUUUGGGUUGUAUUAUCACUUUGGUACAGUAUUGAUCAUUUCCUAUCUCAACUUUAAACCGGAGGAUAUGUUGCGCUUAAUUUUGGUAAAAGUAAAAUGAGAACUUAAUUAUACUUCCGCG
RNAcentral lists this long non-coding RNA (1630 nucleotides) under Nicotiana tabacum (common tobacco). RNAcentral describes it as "long non-coding RNA (NTAB_LNC012616)". Lineage: Eukaryota; Viridiplantae; Streptophyta; Magnoliopsida; Solanales; Solanaceae. The record is from RNAcentral.